This 253-nucleotide ribosomal RNA is filed under the name uncultured bacterium. RNAcentral describes it as "partial 16S ribosomal RNA". It matches the Rfam family "Bacterial small subunit ribosomal RNA", at positions 524 to 776 of the family's 1533-position model. The record is from RNAcentral.
UACGUAGGGGGCCAGCGUUGCUCGGAAUUACUGGGCGUAAAGGGUUCGUAGGCGGUGCGGCAAGUUGGGAGUGAAAUCUCUGGGCUUAACCCAGAGGCUGCUUCCAAAACUGCCGUGCUAGAGUGCGAGAGAGGCCAGUGGAAUUGCAGGUGUAGCGGUGAAAUGCGUAGAUAUCUGCAGGAACACCCGUGGCGAAGGCGGCUGGCUGGACAGAAACUGACGCUGAUGCGCGAAAGCUAGGGGAGCAAACAGG